This 253-nucleotide ribosomal RNA is filed under the name uncultured bacterium. RNAcentral's name for it is "partial 16S ribosomal RNA". It matches the Rfam family "Bacterial small subunit ribosomal RNA", at positions 524 to 776 of the family's 1533-position model. The record is from RNAcentral.
UACGUAGGGGGCAAGCGUUGUCCGGAAUCAUUGGGCGUAAAGAGCGUGUAGGCGGCUCGGUAAGUCCGCUGUGAAAGUCCAGGGCUCAACCCUGGAAUGCCGGUGGAAACUGUCGAGCUAGAGUCCGGAAGAGGCGAGUGGAAUUCCUGGUGUAGCGGUGAAAUGCGCAGAUAUCGGGAGGAACACCGGUGGCGAAGGCGGUUCUCUGGACAGUUCCUGACGCUGAGGCACGAAGGCCAGGGGAGCAAACGGG